GAAAUGCGAUACGUAGUGUGAAUUGCAGAAUUCAGUGAAUCAUCGAAUCUUUGAACGCACAUUGCGCCCUUUGGUAUUCCAAAGGGCAUGCCUGUUCGAGCGUCAUUUGUACCCUCAAGCUUUGCUUGGUGUUGGGCGUUUUUUGUCUUUGGCUCUCCCAAAGACUCGCCUUAAAACGAUUGGCAGCCGGCCUACUGGUUUCGCAGCGCAGCACAUUUUUGCGCUUGCAAUCAGCAAAAGAGGACGGCAAUCCAUCAAGACUCCUUCUCACGUUUGACCUCGGAUCAGGUAGGGAUACCCGCUGAACUUAAGC
This 313-nucleotide unclassified non-coding RNA is filed under the name plant metagenome. RNAcentral's name for it is "partial contains 5.8S ribosomal RNA, internal transcribed spacer 2, and large subunit ribosomal RNA". The stretch from base 1 to 105 matches the Rfam family "5.8S ribosomal RNA", at positions 50 to 154 of the family's 154-position model. The record is from RNAcentral.